AAUUUCAUCUGUGAUCUUAAUCCUCUCUUUGCCAUCCCCAGUACAUAGUUGCAUAUCCUAGUUGUAGUCAUUCUAGUUCUACUAUGUCGGAUGCCACCACAGCAUGGCCUGAUGAGUGGUGUGUAGGUCCAUGCCCAGGAUCCGAACUGGUAAACCCUGGGCCACUGAAGUAGAUUGCGUGAACUUAACCACUCGGCCAGGGGGCCAGCCCCAGACACCUAUGGAGUGUUCUUGUUUUCAAGACUCUGAAAGCUGACCCUAGAAGAAUCGAAUAGUUAGGAUCCUCUCCAAAGAAGUUAUUGCAGACACUCCUAGAUGCAGGUAAACUCUUGGCUGCUUAAUGGGACUACUGAUAUGGGAGAAAGAAACUGUCAUUCAUCAGUACAAUGAUUCCUACCUUGUGGAUAUGAUUCCUCCUUUCCAUCAAGACUGUCCUGGUGGUGGUGGAACCAAAUUCUUCCUUUUUCGGCUUUCUCUGCUGAUGUAAAAGAAAGCAUCUGUCCUUCAAUGGAAUUACCUGGAAAUGAAAUCAAGGGGCAGAGUCCAGUACCUCUAAAUCUACAUCAGAACUUUCCACAAGAGUACCUGAUGAGGAUGUUUCUAGAGAUGGUGGGACCAGGAAAGAAAAUUGUUCUGCUGGCCUCAACUGUAAAUGUGUCCUGCCUUGGAGAUGUACCCCUCUCGUGUGUUGGCAAGUUCUGUACACGGGCUUGGAAGAGGAAAACCAUAGAAUUCCAUUUGGAAAACUGUGUAUUCGAGAAGGAAUAAAUGGAAUUCAUGAUAUAUACCUUUUCAUCUUUAAUGGCUGCGAUGGACCUAUAAGAAACUACUUCUGUGGGAUUUUUAAAGGCUCUGUGUAUAAAUGCUGGUGAUAAAUAAAUUCUUAUUAAUUCUUAGCCAACAUUUUGGCCCUGGGUUUAAGACUGCUGAAAACAUGUUUGAACCCAAGCAGAGAAUUAAAUGAUUUUAAUGCCAUUUUGUUGCAUGGCAGCCACAAAUAUCAAAUAUCUUCCAUAUCAUCAAAAUAUGAGAUUAUGUGCCUUUAUGCCCUGUAUAAGGUGCUAGGCUAAGAAGGGAAAAUGUGGGAAGUAUAUGUGUUAAAUCUACGAGUUUAAUUGUUCAGCAAAUUGGAAGCGAAUGAAUAGCAUAUGCUUUCCAUCUAAAUGUCAAUGAUGCCAAGAAGGCUUCCUUUGGUUCCCAUGGGUAACUUUCACAUUCAUGUAGAUAGAAGUAAAAAUAUAACAACCCACCUCCUAACUUCAAAAGCAUUAAGUAGCAAAUCUCUAAACUUGUAAAGGAGAAAAUGCUACCAAAUGGAAGAGAAUUUGGUAAUCAUUAAAAUAAGAUCUGUCUCCUCAGAGUAGGAAGUCAAAAUUUUUCUCACAUGAAAACUGAGAUACAAAAAGCAUCAUUGUAAUGCCAAUUGUCUCCAUUUUUUAGCCAAAUAUUCUAAUACUUUUAGUGGCAUACUCAGUAAUAUUUGCCCAUAUUUGUAAUUGAGAUCACUCACCCAGAAAAGCAGCAUUACUAAGCUAGCUAGUGAUUUAGCCACAUUACUAAAUUUGCCUUUCAAGCCUCAAAGAGGUGUAUUUUCACAAAUUUUUGAACAAGAAAGUUGUGUGCUAGAGCACACUAUCUUAAAUCAACAGGUGUAGUAUUGGCCACAAGGAGCUAAUUUAUUCUUAGCCAUCAUCAUUUGUAUAAUCCUCCAUAUUGACCUUGCUCCUAUUUAGUUUUAAGGAGUUUUGGGAGCAUUACUAAUCCCAACAUAACAAUAAUAGCAAUAACAGCAAAUUCUAGUAAGGAGAGGCAUAGGUUAUGAUGCAGAGCUGAGAUAAACAAUGGAAAAGGAUGAGACAAUGAUAAGAAUCGUGAUUC
Molecule: long non-coding RNA, 1878 nt
Filed under: Equus caballus (horse)
Lineage: Eukaryota; Metazoa; Chordata; Mammalia; Perissodactyla; Equidae
Description: lncRNA (ENSECAG00000033977.3)
Source: RNAcentral